Molecule: ribosomal RNA, 312 nt
Filed under: Triticum aestivum (bread wheat)
Lineage: Eukaryota; Viridiplantae; Streptophyta; Magnoliopsida; Poales; Poaceae
Description: partial small subunit ribosomal RNA
Source: RNAcentral
UUUGAAGUAGAUUGCCUGGAGUUGGUACAGCUCUGGAACUCGCAACAAUUUUCACGCUCUGUUAUAGCGCCUAUUCUUCUCGAAAUUGAAGGGCUAGCCUCAACUUUCCUUAGUUUUGAUGUUCAACAUGUAAUGAGAUAAGCCAACAAUUCAGCGCACCUGUGUGCAAAGCAUGCAAGCACACUGGGAGUGACUGAUUACUGGAUGAACUCUCCUCCCGGUUUCCUCAUGACAAGCCUUGAUACGUCUCCAACGUAUCUACUUUUUAUCAUGCUUUUCCUCUUGUUUUGGACUCUAAUUUGCAUGAUUUGA